ACUCAAAGGAAUUGACGGGGGCCCGCACAAGCAGCGGAGCAUGUGGUUUAAUUCGAAGCAACGCGAAGAACCUUACCAGGUCUUGACAUCCAGGUAAAGCUAUAGAGAUAUAGUGUGUGCUUGCACAAUCUGAGACAGGUGGUGCAUGGUUGUCGUCAGCUCGUGUCGUGAGAUGUUGGGUUAAGUCCCGCAACGAGCGCAACCCUUGUGAUCAGUUACUAACGCGUAGAGGCGAGGACUCUGAUAAGACUGCCGGGGACAACUCGGAGGAAGGUGGGGACGACGUCAAAUCAUCAUGCCCCUUAUGACCUGGGCUACACACGUGCUACAAUGGCCACAACAGAGAGAGGCGAAUUCGAGAGGAAGAGCGGAUCUCAGAAAAGUGGUCCCAGUUCGGAUUGUGGGCUGCAACCCGCCCACAUGAAGUCGGAGUUGCUAGUAAUCGCGGAUCAGCAUGCCGCGGUGAAUACGUUCCCGGGCCUUGUACACACCGCCCGU
This 498-nucleotide ribosomal RNA is filed under the name uncultured bacterium. RNAcentral's name for it is "bacterial SSU rRNA". It matches the Rfam family "Bacterial small subunit ribosomal RNA", at positions 899 to 1397 of the family's 1533-position model. The record is from RNAcentral.